CAACCAUCAAGCCCCAGGCUUGUGUUGGGGACCUGCGGCUGCCGCAGGCCCUGAAAUCCAGUGGCGGGUUCGCUGUCACCCCGAGCGUAGUAGCAAUAUCUCGCUCAGGGCGUGCUGCGGGCACCGGCCGUUAAAAGCUGCCUUCUGGCAACACCCAA
Molecule: unclassified non-coding RNA, 158 nt
Filed under: Arcopilus amazonicus
Lineage: Eukaryota; Fungi; Ascomycota; Sordariomycetes; Sordariales; Chaetomiaceae
Also listed under: 1 other name
Description: partial internal transcribed spacer 2
Source: RNAcentral